AUCCAGCCGACGAGUCCCAAAUAGGACGAAAUGAGCCUUAUCGUGAAU
This 48-nucleotide non-coding RNA is filed under the name Trichobilharzia regenti. The record is from RNAcentral. Lineage: Eukaryota; Metazoa; Platyhelminthes; Trematoda; Strigeidida; Schistosomatidae.